AGAGUUUGAUCAUGGCUCAGGACGAACGCUGGCGGCGCGCUUAACACAUGCAAGUCGAGCGAGAACCAUUCCUUCGGGAAUGGGGACAGCGGCGAACGGGUGAGUAACACGUGGGUAAUCUGCCCUCGAUUCUGGGAUAGCCCGGGGAAACCCGGAUUAAUACCGGAUAGCCUCUCGAGCUUUCGAGCUCUUGAGAAAAGGUAGCUUCGGCCUCCGAUCGAGGAUGAGCCCGCGGCGGAUUAGCUUGUUGGUGGGGUAAUGGCCUACCAAGGCGACGAUCCGUAGCUGGUCUGAGAGGACGAUCAGCCACACUGGGACUGAGACACGGCCCAGACUCCUACGGGAGGCAGCAGUGGGGAAUCUUGCGCAAUGGGCGAAAGCCUGACGCAGCGACGCCGCGUGGGGGAAGAAGGCCUUCGGGUUGUAAACCUCUUUCAGCAGGGACGAAGCCACUCGGGUUAAUAGCCCAGAGGGUGACGGUACCUGCAGAAGAAGCCCCGGCUAACUACGUGCCAGCAGCCGCGGUAAUACGUAGGGGGCAAGCGUUGUCCGGAUUUAUUGGGCGUAAAGAGCGUGUAGGCGGCCAGACAGGUCCGUUGUGAAAACUAGAGGCUUAACCUCUAGACGUCGAUGGAAACCGUCUGGCUAGAGUCCGGAAGAGGAGAAUGGAAUUCCUGGUGUAGCGGUGAAAUGCGCAGAUAUCAGGAAGAACACCCGUGGCUAAGGCGGUUCUCUAGUACGGUACUGACGCUGAGACGCGAAAGCGUGGGGAGCGAACAGGAUUAGAUACCCUAGUAGUCC
Molecule: ribosomal RNA, 801 nt
Filed under: uncultured bacterium
Lineage: Bacteria
Description: bacterial SSU rRNA
Rfam family: Bacterial small subunit ribosomal RNA
Source: RNAcentral